CAAUAGCGUAUAUUAAAGUUGUUGCAGUUAAAAAGCUCGUAGUUGGAUUUCUGGUGGGAGCGAUCGGUCUGGCGCUUAGCGCGAGUACUUGCAUCGUCUCCGGCCAUCCUUGGGGAAAGUCUGUCUGGCAUUAAGUUGUCGGGCAGAGGAUCCUCAUCGUUUACUGUGAAAAAAUUAGAGUGUUCAAAGCAGGCUUAUGCCGUUGAAUAUAUUAGCAUGGAAUAAUAAGAUAGGACUUUGGUACUAUUUUGUUGGUUUGCGCACCAAAGUAAUGAUUAAUAGGGACAGUUGGGGGUAUUCGUAUUCCGUUGUCAGAGGUGAAAUUCUUGGAUUUACGGAAGACGAACUACUGCGAAAGCAUUUACCAAGGAUGUUCUCAUUAA
Molecule: ribosomal RNA, 383 nt
Filed under: uncultured eukaryote
Lineage: Eukaryota
Description: partial 18S ribosomal RNA
Rfam family: Eukaryotic small subunit ribosomal RNA
Source: RNAcentral